GGUUUAAUUCGAUGAUACGCGAGGAACCUUACCCGGGCUUGAACUGCAGCGGACGGAUACAGAGAUGUUGACUCCCUUCGGGGCCGCUGUGGAGGUGCUGCAUGGUUGUCGUCAGCUCGUGCCGUGAGGUGUCGGCUUAAGUGCCAUAACGAGCGCAACCCCUGUUCUCAGUUGCCAUCGGUUAAAGCCGGGCACUCUGUGAAGACUGCCUCCGCAAGGAGUGA
This 224-nucleotide ribosomal RNA is filed under the name uncultured bacterium. Its description in RNAcentral is "partial 16S ribosomal RNA". It matches the Rfam family "Bacterial small subunit ribosomal RNA", at positions 943 to 1167 of the family's 1533-position model. The record is from RNAcentral.